RNAcentral lists this ribosomal RNA (251 nucleotides) under uncultured bacterium. RNAcentral describes it as "partial 16S ribosomal RNA". It matches the Rfam family "Bacterial small subunit ribosomal RNA", at positions 526 to 776 of the family's 1533-position model. The record is from RNAcentral.
UACGGGGGGCAAGCGUUGUUCGGAAUUACUGGGCGUAAAGGGCUCGUAGGUGGCCAACUAAGUCAGACGUGAAAUCCCUCAGCUUAACUGGGGAACUGCGUCUGAUACUGGAUGGCUUGAGUUUGGGAGAGGGAUGCGGAAUUCCAGGUGUAGCGGUGAAAUGCGUAGAUAUCUGGAGGAACACCGGUGGCGAAGGCGGCAUCCUGGACCAACACUGACACUGAGGAGCGAAAGCCAGGGGAGCAAACGGG